AACGCUGGCGGCGUGCUUAACACAUGCAAGUCGAACGGAAAGGCCCUGCUUUUGUGGGGUGCUCGAGUGGCGAACGGGUGAGUAACACGUGAGUAACCUGCCCUUGACUUUGGGAUAACUUCAGGAAACUGGGGCUAAUACCGGAUAGGAGCUCCUGCUGCAUGGUGGGGGUUGGAAAGUUUCGGCGGUUGGGGAUGGACUCGCGGCUUAUCAGCUUGUUGGUGGGGUAGUGGCUUACCAAGGCUUUGACGGGUAGCCGGCCUGAGAGGGUGACCGGCCACAUUGGGACUGAGAUACGGCCCAGACUCCUACGGGAGGCAGCAGUGGGGAAUAUUGCACAAUGGGCGGAAGCCUGACGCAGCAACGCCGCGUGCGGGAUGACGGCCUUCGGGUUGUAAACCGCUUUCGCCUGUGACGAAGCGUGAGUGACGGUAAUGGGUAAAGAAGCACCGGCUAACUACGUG
Molecule: ribosomal RNA, 464 nt
Filed under: uncultured bacterium
Lineage: Bacteria
Description: partial 16S ribosomal RNA
Rfam family: Bacterial small subunit ribosomal RNA
Source: RNAcentral